GGAGGUGCACAAGACCUUCGAUCCGAAGAUUUCCGAAUGGGGCAACCCAGUAGAUUGAAGAUCUAUUAUCCUAUGUAUGUAGGAGGCGAACCUGCUGAACUGAAACAUCUAAGUAAGCAGAGGAAGAGAAAACAAAAGUGAUUCCGUAAGUAGUGGCGAGCGAACGCGGAUUAGCCCAAACCAGUGUUGUUGCGGCAAGACUGGGGUUGUAGGACCACGUGAUCGAUUAUAUAAAUGAACAAGAACUGUCUGGGAAGGCAGGCCAUAGAAGGUGAGAGCCCUGUAUCGGUAAGCUUAUAUAAUUGUAGUGGUAUCCUGAGUAGGGGGGGACUGGAGAAAUCCCCUUUGAAUCUGCCGGCACCAUCCGGUAAGGCUAAAUACUACCAAGAGACCGAUAGUGAACUAGUACUGUGAAGGAAAGGUGAAAAGUACCCUGAGUAAGGGGGUGAAAAGAACCUGAAACCAUACGCUUACAAGCGGUCGGAGCAGAGCGAUUCUGUGACGGCGUGCCUUUUGCAUAAUGAUCCUACGAGUUACUCCUCACUGGCGAGGUUAAGUUCUUAUUUAACGGAGCCGAAGCGAAAGCGAGUCCAAAUAGGGCGAUUAGUCAGUGGGGGUAGACGCGAAACUUUGUGAUCUAUCCAUGGGCAGGUUGAAGGUGUGGUAACACACACUGGAGGACCGAACUCGUUGACGUUGAAAAGUCUUGAGAUGACCUGUGGAUAGGGGUGAAAGGCCAAUCAAACUGAGAGAUAGCUCGUUCUCCCCGAAAUGUUUUUAGGAACAGCCUCGGCUAAAGAAGUAUGAUAGAGGUAGAGCUACUGAUUGGGCUAGGGGGCUUCACCGCCUACCAAAUCCUGACAAACUCCGAAUGCUAUCAUAUAUCGCCUGGAGUGAGGCUGUGGGCGCUAAGGUCCAUGGCCGAGAGGGAAAUAACCCAGAUUAGCAAUUAAGGUCCCUAAUACGUGGUUAAGUUGAUCAAACGUGGUGGAAUUUCUAUAACAGCCAGGAUGUUGGCUUGGAAGCAGCCAUUCAUUUAAAGAGUGCGUAACAGCUCACUGGUCGAGAGAUCCUGCACGGAAAAUAAUCGGGCAUCAAACUAUGAACCGAAGUUCUAGAUUCAAUAUUUAUUUAUUGAGUGGUAGGGGAGCAUUGAAAUCUGCAUCGAAGGUGUGGCGCGAGCCAUGCUGGAGCGAUUUCAAAAGAAAAUGUAGGUAUAAGUAACGAUAAAAGUAGUGAAAAACUACUUCGCCGAAAGUCUAAGGUUUCCUGAUCAACGUUAAUCGGAUCAGGGUUAGUCUGGUCCUUAGGAAAACCCGAAAGGGGCAUCUGAUGGAAAGCUAGUUAAUAUUCUAGCACCUACUAUGCAUUAAAAGUGACGCAGGGACGUGGUUGUUACGAACAGACGGAUGUUCGUUGAGUGGAACCUUCGGGGGAAGCGAAACAAUAAAAUCCCUGCCAAGAAAAGCGAGCAUAGCAGCCAGUACCGGAAUCCGACACAGGUAGACGGGAUGAGUAUUCUAAGGCGCUCGGGUGAGCCGCGGAGAAGGAACUAGGCAAAUUGAUGCUGUAACUUCGGGAUAAAGCAUGCCGAUUUCGGUCGGCCUCAGUAAAAUGGUUCAACCAACUGUUUAGCAAAAACACAGGGCCCUGCAAAAUCGAAAGAUGACGUAUAGAGCCUGAUACCUGCCCGGUGCUGGAAGGUUAAGGAAGGAUGUUCGACGCAAGUCAAAGCUUCUGACUGAAGCCCCAGUAAACGGCGGCCGUAACUAUAACGGUCCUAAGGUAGCGAAAUUCCUUGUCGGGUAAGUUCCGACCU
This 1819-nucleotide ribosomal RNA is filed under the name wastewater metagenome. RNAcentral describes it as "bacterial LSU rRNA". It matches the Rfam family "Bacterial large subunit ribosomal RNA", at positions 82 to 1989 of the family's 2925-position model. The record is from RNAcentral.